GACGAACGCUGGCGGCGUGCUUAACACAUGCAAGUCGAACGGAAAGGCCCUGCUUUUGUGGGGUGCUCGAGUGGCGAACGGGUGAGUAACACGUGAGUAACCUGCCCUUGACUUUGGGAUAACUUCAGGAAACUGGGGCUAAUACCGGAUAGGAGCUCCUGCUGCAUGGAGGGGGUUGGAAAGUUUCGGCGGUUGGGGAUGGACUCGCGGCUUAUCAGCUUGUUGGUGGGGUAGUGGCUUACCAAGGCUUUGACGGGUAGCCGGCCUGGGAGGGUGACCGGCCACAUUGGGACUGGGAUGCGGCCCAGACUCCUACGGGAGGCAGCAGUGGGGAAUAUUGCACAAUGGGCGGAAGCCUGAUGCAGCAACGCCGCGUGCGGGAUGACGGCCUUCGGGUUGUAAACCGCUUUCGCCUGUGACGAAGCGUGAGUGACGGUAAUGGGUAAAGAAGCACCGGCUAACUACGUG
Molecule: ribosomal RNA, 468 nt
Filed under: uncultured bacterium
Lineage: Bacteria
Description: partial 16S ribosomal RNA
Rfam family: Bacterial small subunit ribosomal RNA
Source: RNAcentral